GUGGGUGGCAAGCGUUGUCCGGAAUUAUUGGGCGUAAAGCGCGCGCAGGCGGUUCUUUAAGUCUGAUGUGAAAGCCCACGGCUCAACCGUGGAGGGUCAUUGGAAACUGGAGAACUUGAGUACAGAAGAGGAAAGCGGAAUUCCACGUGUAGCGGUGAAAUGCGUAGAGAUGUGGAGGAACACCAGUGGCGAAGGCGGCUUUCUGGUCUGUAACUGACGCUGAGGCGCGAAAGCGUGGGGAGCAAACAGGGAUUAGAUACCCUGGUAGUCCACGCCGUAAACGAUGAGUGCUAAGUGUUAGGGGGUUUCCGCCCCCUUAGUGCUGCAGCUAACGCAUUAAGCACUCCGCCUGGGGAGUACGGCCGCAAGGCUG
Molecule: ribosomal RNA, 373 nt
Filed under: uncultured organism
Description: partial 16S ribosomal RNA
Rfam family: Bacterial small subunit ribosomal RNA
Source: RNAcentral